This 1654-nucleotide long non-coding RNA is filed under the name Homo sapiens (human). RNAcentral describes it as "HSALNT0126933". Lineage: Eukaryota; Metazoa; Chordata; Mammalia; Primates; Hominidae. The record is from RNAcentral.
CUGAAAAACAACUGUUACCAUGGCCCAGAGCUGCUCAAAGUGGAUCCUUUGCUCUUGUCAAACAGAACCUUCAUAAAUCUGCCAUUUGGGUGAGCAUGGUGGGGCCAGCUUUUUGUGAGGUGAAACUCCAAACCAGCUUCCAUUCUCGGGAUUGGUAUGUAGUUUUUUCAUGUUGCCUAAGAGGCUCAGGAAGGGAACUUGAGGUAUUUGUUUUUUCAUGCCUGCAAAGGCCAUUUCCUAAGAGGUGAGAAGCAUAUAUGCAUGCCUGCAAGUACCUGUGAACGUGGGCCACUGAGAGUCUCUGGGGCAAGAGCCCUUCAGGGGAAUCUGGUAUCUAUUCAUUAUGCAAAACUUCAUUCUAGCUAGAACAGGGCCUGGGCUACACUUAAAGCUUAAAGGGAUGUCUGUUAAACCAUGUUUCCUGUUUCCUGUAGAACUUACCACACUAGUACUGAAAGUGUCAUAGCUCAGAGUGGAAGGUUAACGCGUAAGAAAGGGACAGUAUUGGCAGAAGGCAAGUGGUGUGACCACUUCCUUCUCCACCCUCUUCUCCCAUCCCUUGCCUCCCUGGAAAAGCUGGUUUCCUCAGGAGUCACUCCUUCAGCAGCCGCACAAGGCACACGCCUCGGGGAAGCCGGGCACAGGCUGGGGUUGCCUCCCUCCUGCCCCUGCCCUGCCUCCUGCCCCAGCAGACAGUGAAUAAGCCACCUGGUUGGCCCAGCUUCCCGCAGUCCCACUUCUCAAGCUAGGGUACAUGUAUCUAGGAGGACAGGACUGUGUCGCUGGGAGGUAGAGUGAGACGGAUGACAGGAGCCACAGAAUCAAAACAGCACAAUCGACUCAUCAGUUCUUUAACUUACUUCAUCUAUCUCACUGAAUGGUGGUGUUGGGUCACCUGGGGUCAGAAAACCAGUGCAAAAAUGCUGCCACUCUGGCUGUUACUAUUACUGGAAGUGAAGAAACUGUCCUUCUUCUCUGACCCAGGAGCCUCAUGUCUUCUACCAACAUCCGUGAAAUUUUGGCAUGUGUGAUUAUUACCUGCACAUGAGAUAAGAUCUCAGUUCUUGAUGGUAUGGAAUGCUGCAGGGAGAGGAAGUGUGCGUGCACAGGCCCAGAGGCCUAGGGGAGCCCAGCCUGCUCUCGGAACUGCCAGGAGAGCAGAUGACUGUGGCACACCCUUGCUGUGUGGGGUGGCAAGCAGCCUCUUCCUUCAGGCUUCUGCCCAAAUGUGAUCUCAUUAGAAUGGCCUUCCUUAACCAUCCCAGCUGACACAGAAUCCCACAUCACUCCCUGUCUCCUAUCUUGCUUUUCUGUCUUUCACAUGUAUACCACAUCAUCUCAUAUAUUUGUUUGUUUGUUGUCUGUACUUCCCUACAAAAUGGCAAAUCCCAUCGGCGAAGGAACUUUGUUUCAUUCACUGCUGUAAUUAAUUCUACCACUUAGGACAGUGCCCCGCAUAGAGAGAUGAGGCUGUCAGGACAGGCAAGCCUGGUUUGCAUCAUGGGUUACAGCCUGUAAGCCAUGCCAGGAGCCUGGGUGAAUCCUGGGAGGUUUAGAAAUUCUUUUAAGUAUUCUAUGAUUUGCAUUUUAGGGCCAUGAUCCCUUCAGCAGCUGGCAAGUUCAUUGAAGGGAGGGCAAGACCACAGGAGUCUGG